GUAUAGCAUCUAUACCGUGAAACUGCGAAUGGCUCAUUAAAUCAGUUAUCGUUUAUUUGAUAGUACCUUACUACUUGGAUACCCGUGGUAAUUCUAGAGCUAAUACAUGCUAAAAACCCCGACUUCGGAAGGGGUGUGUUUAUUAGAUAAAAAACCAAUGCCCUUCGGGGCUCCUUGGUGAUUCAUGAUAACUUCUCAGAUCGCACGGCCUUGCGCCGGCGACGGUUCAUUCAAAUUUCUGCCCUAUCAACUUUCGAUGGUAAGGUAUUGGCUUACCAUGGUUUCAACGGGUAACGGGGAAUUAGGGUUCGAUUCCGGAGAGGGAGCCUGAGAAACGGCUACCACAUCCAAGGAAGGCAGCAGGCGCGCAAAUUACCCAAUCCCGACACGGGGAGGUAGUGACAAUAAAUACUGAUACAGGGCUCUUUUGGGUCUUGUAAUUGGAAUGAGUACAAUUUAAACCUCUUAACGAGGAACAAUUGGAGGGCAAGUCUGGUGCCAGCAGCCGCGGUAAUUCCAGCUCCAAUAGCGUAUAUUAAAGUUGUUGCAGUUAAAAAGCUCGUAGUUGAAUCUUUGGCCUGGCUGGCAGGUCCGCCUCACCGCGUGCACUUGUCCGGCCGGGCCUUUUCUUCUGGAGAACCGCAUGCCCUUCACUGGGCGUGUUGGGGACCAGGACUUUUACUUUGAAAAAAUUAGAGUGUUCAAAGCAGGCCUUUGCUCGAAUACGUUAGCAUGGAAUAAUAGAAUAGGACGCGCGGUCCUAUUUUGUUGGUUUCUAGGACCGCCGUAAUGAUUAAUAGGGACAGUCGGGGGCAUCAGUAUUCAAUUGUCAGAGGUGAAAUUCUUGGAUUUAUUGAAGACUAACUACUGCGAAAGCAUUUGCCAAGGAUGUUUUCAUUAAUCAGUGAACGAAAGUUAGGGGAUCGAAGACGAUCAGAUACCGUCGUAGUCUUAACCAUAAACUAUGCCGACUAGGGAUCGGGCGGUGUUAUCGAUUUGACCCGCUCGGCACCUUGCGAGAAAUCAAAGUG
This 1031-nucleotide ribosomal RNA is filed under the name Dendryphiella phitsanulokensis. Its description in RNAcentral is "SSU rRNA". It matches the Rfam family "Eukaryotic small subunit ribosomal RNA", at positions 63 to 1105 of the family's 1831-position model. Lineage: Eukaryota; Fungi; Ascomycota; Dothideomycetes; Pleosporales; Dictyosporiaceae. The record is from RNAcentral.